UUCCAGACUCCUACGGGAGGCAGCAGUGGGGGAUAUUGCACAAUGGGGGGAACCCUGAUGCAGCGACGCCGCGUGGGUGAAGAAGCGCCUCGGCGCGUAAAGCCCUGUCAGCAGGGAAGAAAAUGACGGUACCUGAGUAAGAAGCUCCGGCUAAAUACGUGCCAGCAGCCGCGGUAAUACGUAUGGAGCAAGCGUUAUCCGGAUUUACUGGGUGUAAAGGGAGCGUAGGCGGCCUGCCAAGUCUGAUGUGAAAUACCGGGGCUCAACCCCGGGGCUGCAUUGGAAACUGGCAGGCUGGAGUGUCGGAGAGGCAGGCGGAAUUCCUAGUGUAGCGGUGAAAUGCGUAGAUAUUAGGAGGAACACCAGUGGCGAAGGCGGCCUGCUGGACGAUGACUGACGCUGAGGCUCGAAAGCGUGGGGAGCAAACAGGAUUAGAUACCCGUGUA
Molecule: ribosomal RNA, 446 nt
Filed under: uncultured bacterium
Lineage: Bacteria
Description: partial 16S ribosomal RNA
Rfam family: Bacterial small subunit ribosomal RNA
Source: RNAcentral